UUAAGCGACUAAGCGUACACGGUGGAUGCCCUGGCAGUCAGAGGCGAUGAAGGACGUGCUAAUCUGCGAAAAGCGUCGGUAAGGUGAUAUGAACCGUUAUAACCGGCGAUGUCCGAAUGGGGAAACCCAGUGUGAUUCGUCACACUAUCGUUAACUGAAUACAUAGGUUAACGAGGCGAACCGGGGGAACUGAAACAUCUAAGUACCCCGAGGAAAAGAAAUCAACCGAGAUUCCCCCAGUAGCGGCGAGCGAACGGGGAGCAGCCCAGAGUCUGAAUCAGCUUGUGUGUUAGUGGAACGGUCUGGAAAGUCCGACGGUACAGGGUGAUAGUCCCGUACACCAAAAUGCACAGGCUGUGAACUCGAAGAGUAGGGCGGGACACGUGGUAUCCUGUCUGAAUAUGGGGGGACCAUCCUCCAAGGCUAAAUACUCCUGACUGACCGAUAGUGAACCAGUACCGUGAGGGAAAGGCGAAAAGAACCCCGGCGAGGGGAGUGAAAAAGAACCUGAAACCGUGUACGUACAAGCAGUGGGAGCACCUUCGGGUGUGACUGCGUACCUUUUGUAUAAUGGGUCAGCGACUUAUAUUCUGUAGCAAGGUUAACCGUAUAGGGGAGCCGCAGGGAAACCGAGUCUUAACUGGGCGUUAAGUUGCAGGGUAUAGACCCGAAACCCGGUGAUCUAGCCAUGGGCAGGUUGAAGGUUGGGUAACACUAACUGGAGGACCGAACCGACUAAUGUUGAAAAAUUAGCGGAUGACUUGUGGCUGGGGGUGAAAGGCCAAUCAAACCGGGAGAUAGCUGGUUCUCCCCGAAAGCUAUUUAGGUAGCGCCUCGUGAACUCAUCUUCGGGGGUAGAGCACUGUUUCGGCUAGGGGGUCAUCCCGACUUACCAACCCGAUGCAAACUACGAAUACCGAAGAAUGUUAUCACGGGAGACACACGGCGGGUGCUAACGUCCGUCGUGAAGAGGGAAACAACCCAGACCGCCAGCUAAGGUCCCAAAGUCAUGGUUAAGUGGGAAACGAUGUGGGAAGGCACAGACAGCCAGGAUGUUGGCUUAGAAGCAGCCAUCAUUUAAAGAAAGCGUAAUAGCUCACUGGUCGAGUCGGCCUGCGCGGAAGAUGUAACGGGGCUAAACCAUGCACCGAAGCUGCGGCAGCGACGCUUAUGCGUUGUUGGGUAGGGGAGCGUUCUGUAAGCCUGCGAAGGUGACCUGUGAGGGUUGCUGGAGGUAUCAGAAGUGCGAAUGCUGACAUAAGUAACGAUAAAGCGGGUGAAAAGCCCGCUCGCCGGAAGACCAAGGGUUCCUGUCCAACGUUAAUCGGGGCAGGGUGAGUCGACCCCUAAGGCGAGGCCGAAAGGCGUAGUCGAUGGGAAACAGGUUAAUAUUCCUGUACUUGGUGUUACUGCGAAGGGGGGACGGAGAAGGCUAUGUUAGCCGGGCGACGGUUGUCCCGGUUUAAGCAUGUAGGCUGNUUAUCCAGGCAAAUCCGGAUAAUCAAGGCUGAGGUGUGAUGACGAGGCACUACGGUGCUGAAGUAACAAAUGCCCUGCUUCCAGGAAAAGCCUCUAAGCAUCAGGUAACAUCAAAUCGUACCCCAAACCGACACAGGUGGUCAGGUAGAGAAUACCAAGGCGCUUGAGAGAACUCGGGUGAAGGAACUAGGCAAAAUGGUGCCGUAACUUCGGGAGAAGGCACGCUGGUGUGUAGGUGAAGCCCCUGCGGGUGGAGCUGAGACCAGUCGAAGAUACCAGCUGGCUGCAACUGUUUAUUAAAAACACAGCACUGUGCAAACACGAAAGUGGACGUAUACGGUGUGACGCCUGCCCGGUGCCGGAAGGUUAAUUGAUGGGGUUAUCCGUAAGGAGAAGCUCUUGAUCGAAGCCCCGGUAAACGGCGGCCGUAACUAUAACGGUCCUAAGGUAGCGAAAUUCCUUGUCGGGUAAGUUCCGACCUGCACGAAUGGCGUAAUGAUGGCCAGGCUGUCUCCACCCGAGACUCAGUGAAAUUGAACUCGCUGUGAAGAUGCAGUGUACCCGCGGCAAGACGGAAAGACCCCGUGAACCUUUACUAUAGCUUGACACUGAACAUUGAGCCUUGAUGUGUAGGAUAGGUGGGAGGCUUUGAAGCGUGGACGCCAGUCUGCGUGGAGCCAACCUUGAAAUACCACCCUUUAAUGUUUGAUGUUCUAACGUUGGCCCCUGACCGGGGUUGCGGACAGUGUCUGGUGGGUAGUUUGACUGGGGCGGUCUCCUCCCAAAGCGUAACGGAGGAGCACGAAGGUUAGCUAAUCCUGGUCGGACAUCAGGAGGUUAGUGCAAUGGCAUAAGCUAGCUUGACUGCGAGCGUGACGGCGCGAGCAGGUGCGAAAGCAGGUCAUAGUGAUCCGGUGGUUCUGAAUGGAAGGGCCAUCGCUCAACGGAUAAAAGGUACUCCGGGGAUAACAGGCUGAUACCGCCCAAGAGUUCAUAUCGACGGCGGUGUUUGGCACCUCGAUGUCGGCUCAUCACAUCCUGGGGCUGAAGUAGGUCCCAAGGGUAUGGCUGUUCGCCAUUUAAAGUGGUACGCGAGCUGGGUUUAGAACGUCGUGAGACAGUUCGGUCCCUAUCUGCCGUGGGCGCUGGAGAAUUGAGGGGGGCUGCUCCUAGUACGAGAGGACCGGAGUGGACGCAUCACUGGUGUUCGGGUUGUCAUGCCAAUGGCACUGCCCGGUAGCUAAAUGCGGAAGAGAUAAGUGCUGAAAGCAUCUAAGCACGAAACUUGCCCCGAGAUGAGUUCUCCCUGAGACUUUAAGUCUCCUGAAGGAACGUUGAAGACGACGACGUUGAUAGGCCGGGUGUGUAAGCGCAGCGAUGCGUUGAGCUAACCGGUACUAAUGAACCGUGAGGCUUAACCUU
Molecule: ribosomal RNA, 2901 nt
Filed under: Klebsiella quasipneumoniae
Lineage: Bacteria; Pseudomonadati; Pseudomonadota; Gammaproteobacteria; Enterobacterales; Enterobacteriaceae
Description: 23S ribosomal RNA
Rfam family: Bacterial large subunit ribosomal RNA
Source: RNAcentral